RNAcentral lists this ribosomal RNA (428 nucleotides) under uncultured bacterium. Its description in RNAcentral is "bacterial SSU rRNA". It matches the Rfam family "Bacterial small subunit ribosomal RNA", at positions 355 to 776 of the family's 1533-position model. The record is from RNAcentral.
UAGGGAAUUUUCGUCAAUGGGGGAAACCCUGAACGAGCAAUGCCGCGUGAGUGAUGAAGGAUUUCGGUCUGUAAAGCUCUGUUGUAAAGGAAAAAAGACCGCCAUAGGGAAUGAUGGCGGAGUGAUGGUACUUUACCAGAAAGCCACGGCUAACUACGUGCCAGCAGCCGCGGUAAUACGUAGGUGGCAAGCGUUAUCCGGAAUUAUUGGGCGUAAAGGGAGCGUAGGCGGCACAUUAAGUCUGAGGUAAAAGCCAGUGGCUCAACCACUGUAAGCCUUGGAAACUGAUGAGCUAGAGUGCAGGAGAGGCAAAUGGAACUCCAUGUGUAGCGGUAAAAUGCGUAGAUAUUAGGAGGAACACCAGUGGCGAAGGCGGCUUGCUGGACGACAACUGACGCUGAGGCGCGAAAGCGUGGGGAGCAAACAGG